UUACCAGAAGUAGUUAGCCUAACCGCAAGGGGGGCGAUUACCACGGUAGGAUUCAUGACUGGGGUGAAGUCGUAACAAGGUAGCCGUAUCGGAAGGUGCGGCUGGAUCACCUCCUUUCAGA
RNAcentral lists this ribosomal RNA (121 nucleotides) under Achromobacter insolitus. Its description in RNAcentral is "partial 16S ribosomal RNA". It matches the Rfam family "Bacterial small subunit ribosomal RNA", at positions 1417 to 1533 of the family's 1533-position model. The record is from RNAcentral. Lineage: Bacteria; Pseudomonadati; Pseudomonadota; Betaproteobacteria; Burkholderiales; Alcaligenaceae.